UAGCAAGGUUAACCGUUUAGGGGAGCCGUAGCGAAAGCGAGUGUUAACUGCGCGUUUAGUUGCUAGGUAUAGACCCGAAACCCGGUGAUCUAGCCAUGAGCAGGUUGAAGGUUGAGUAACAUCAACUGGAGGACCGAACCCACUAACGUUGAAAAGUUAGGGGAUGACUUGUGGCUGGGGGUGAAAGGCCAAUCAAACCGGGAGAUAGCUGGUUCUCCCCGAAAUCUAUUUAGGUAGAGCCUCGGACGAAUUCCAUUGGGGGUAGAGCACUGUUAAGGCUAGGGGGUCAUCCCGACUUACCAACCCUUUGCAAACUCCGAAUACCAAUGAGAACUAUCCGGGAGACACACGGCGGGUGCUAACGUCCGUCGUGGAGAGGGAAACAACCCAGACCGCCAGCUAAGGUCCCAAAAUAUUGCUAAGUGGGAAACGAUGUGGGAAGGCAUAGACAGCUAGGAGGUUGGCUUAGAAGCAGCCACCCUUUAAAGAAAGCGUAAUAGCUCACUAGUCGAGUCGGCCUGCGCGGAAGAUGUAACGGGGCUAAGCAAUAUACCGAAGCUGCGGCAGCAAGUUUACUUGCUGGGUAGGGGAGCGUUGUGUAAGUGGAUGAAGGUGAGUUGUAAAGCUUGCUGGACAUAUCACAAGUGCGAAUGCUGACAUGAGUAACGAUAAUGGGAGUGAAAAACUCCCACGCCGGAAGACCAAGGUUUCCUGUCCCAUGCUAAUCAGGGCAGGGUAAGUCGGCCCCUAAGGCGAGGCAGAAAUGCGUAGUCGAUGGGAAACGGGUUAAUAUUCCCGUACUUAUAUAAUCAGUGAUGGAGGGACGGAGAAGGCUAGGCAAGCUUGGCGUUGGUUGUCCAAGUGAAAGUGAGUAGGCUGAAGACUUAGGUAAAUCCGGGUUUUCAAGGCCGAGACACGAGACGAGCUCCCAAGGGAGUGAAGUUGUUGAUGCCCUGCUUCCAGGAAAAGCUUCUAAACUUAUGAUUAUAUGAACCGUACCCCAAACCGACACAGGUGGUCAGGUAGAGAAUACUAAGGCGCUUGAGAGAACUCGGGUGAAGGAACUCGGCAAAAUUGUACCGUAACUUCGGGAGAAGGUACGCCUCUGUUUGUGAACACUUCGCGUGGUAAGCAAAUGGAGGCCGCAGUGACCAGGUGGCUGGGACUGUUUAUUAAAAACACAGCACUCUGCAAACUCGUAAGAGGACGUAUAGGGUGUGACACCUGCCCGGUGCCGGAAGGUUAAUUGAUGGGGUUAGUUUUCGGACGAAGCUCUUGAUCGAAGCCCCGGUAAACGGCGGCCGUAACAAUAACGGUCCUAAGGUAGCGAAAUUCCUUGUCGGGUAAGUUCCGACCUGCACGAAUGGUGUAACCAUGGCCACGCUGUCUCCACCCGAGACUCAGUGAAAUUGAAAUCGCAGUGAAGAUGCUGUGUACCCGCACCUAGACGGAAAGACCCCGUGAACCUUUACUACAGCUUGGCACUGAACAUUGAACCUACAUGUGUAGGAUAGGUGGGAGGCUUUGAAGCACAGUCGCUAGAUUGUGUGGAGCCGUCCUUGAAAUACCACCCUUGUAUGUUUGAUGUUCUAACAUUGUUCCCUUAUCGGGAAUGUGGACAGUGUCUGGUGGGUAGUUUGACUGGGGCGGUCUCCUCCCAAAUAGUAACGGAGGAGCACGAAGGUUAGCUAAUCACGGUCGGACAUCGUGAGGUUAGUGCAAUGGCAUAAGCUAGCUUAACUGCGAGACAGACACGUCGAGCAGGUACGAAAGUAGGUCAUAGUGAUCCGGUGGUUCUGUAUGGAAGGGCCAUCGCUCAACGGAUAAAAGGUACUCCGGGGAUAACAGGCUGAUACCGCCCAAGAGUUCAUAUCGACGGCGGUGUUUGGCACCUCGAUGUCGGCUCAUCACAUCCUGGGGCUGAAGUCGGUCCCAAGGGUAUGGCUGUUCGCCAUUUAAAGUGGUACGCGAGCUGGGUUUAGAACGUCGUGAGACAGUUCGGUCCCUAUCUGGUGUGGGCGUUGGAUGAUUGAUGGGAGCUGCUCCUAGUACGAGAGGACCGGAGUGGACGAACCGCUGGUGUUCGGGUUGUCAUGCCAAUGGCAUUGCCCGGUAGCUAUGUUCGGAACGGAUAACCGCUGAAAGCAUCUAAGCGGGAAGCCGGCCCAAAGAUGAGUCAUCCCUGACCUUUAAGGUCUGGAAGGGUUGUUAUAGACGAUGACGUUGAUAGGCAGGGUGUGGAAGCGUUGUAAGGCGUUAAGCUAACCUGUACUAAUUGCCCGAGAGGCUUAACC
RNAcentral lists this ribosomal RNA (2294 nucleotides) under uncultured Vexilliferidae. RNAcentral describes it as "partial Bacterial large subunit ribosomal RNA". It matches the Rfam family "Bacterial large subunit ribosomal RNA", at positions 638 to 2925 of the family's 2925-position model. Lineage: Eukaryota; Discosea; Flabellinia; Dactylopodida; Vexilliferidae. The record is from RNAcentral.